UACGGAGGGUGCGAGCGUUAAUCGGAAUCACUGGGCGUAAAGCGCACGUAGGCGGCCAGAUAAGUCAGAUGUGAAAGCCCCGGGCUUAACCUGGGAAUGGCAUUUGAUACUGUCUGGCUAGAGUAUGGUAGAGGGGGGUGGAAUUCCAGGUGUAGCGGUGAAAUGCGUAGAGAUCUGGAGGAACACCGGUGGCGAAGGCGGCCCCCUGGACCAAUAUUGACGCAGAGGUGCGAAAGCGUGGGGAGCAAGCACG
This 253-nucleotide ribosomal RNA is filed under the name uncultured bacterium. Its description in RNAcentral is "partial 16S ribosomal RNA". It matches the Rfam family "Bacterial small subunit ribosomal RNA", at positions 524 to 776 of the family's 1533-position model. The record is from RNAcentral.